CGGAUAUUUUUCUCAGUGUUGUCUUGAUUUUCUUUCUUUGGUCAAUCGAUUUAAAAUCUUGAUGAUAUCGAAAAAUGUGGGAUGCACAUAUCAUUUCUACGAUGUAUAUUCAACCAGAAUCCGCCUUUCGGUAUAUUUGUUGCAUUUUUCUGAAGAAUUUCAGAAGAAAGAAGAAGAAUUUCAAAGCUUGUCUACAAACUCGACUAUUGGCACUAAGCAUCCACUGAGUCCCAUUUUUCUUUCAUAUGGGUACCUUCCUACUGCGCCUACAGAAACAGAAUUUUAUGUCUUACAAGUUAUUGCAAUU
Long non-coding RNA from Camponotus floridanus (Florida carpenter ant), 307 nucleotides. RefSeq lists it as uncharacterized. The record is from RefSeq and is a predicted model, not a curated record. The transcript is spliced from 3 exons. Lineage: Eukaryota; Metazoa; Arthropoda; Insecta; Hymenoptera; Formicidae.